CAAUAGCGUAUAUUAAAGUUGUUGCAGUUAAAAAGCUCGUAGUUGGAUUUGUGGUGUACUUCGGCGGCCCGUCACUAUGUGAUGGAGCUUGCUGAAGUCGCCAUCCUUGGGUGGAUCCUGUGUGGCAUUAAGUUGUCGUGCAGGGGAUGCCCAUCGUUUACUGUGAAAAAAUUAGAGUGUUCAAAGCAGGCUUAUGCCGUUGAAUACAUUAGCAUGGAAUAAUAAGAUAGGACCUUGGUACUAUUUUGUUGGUUUGCGCACCAAGGUAAUGAUUAAUAGGGACAGUUGGGGGUAUUCGUAUUUCAUUGUCAGAGGUGAAAUUCUUGGAUUUUUGAAAGACGAACUACUGCGAAAGCAUUUACCAAGGAUGUUUNCAUUAA
RNAcentral lists this ribosomal RNA (380 nucleotides) under uncultured eukaryote. RNAcentral describes it as "partial 18S ribosomal RNA". It matches the Rfam family "Eukaryotic small subunit ribosomal RNA", at positions 592 to 976 of the family's 1831-position model. The record is from RNAcentral.